Molecule: small RNA, 26 nt
Filed under: Bombyx mori (domestic silkworm)
Lineage: Eukaryota; Metazoa; Arthropoda; Insecta; Lepidoptera; Bombycidae
Description: piRNA piR-bmo-2143275
Source: RNAcentral
UAUUACGUUUCUCACGGUGGAGCUCA